This 3336-nucleotide long non-coding RNA is filed under the name Sus scrofa (pig). RNAcentral's name for it is "lncRNA (ENSSSCG00000056467.1)". The record is from RNAcentral. Lineage: Eukaryota; Metazoa; Chordata; Mammalia; Artiodactyla; Suidae.
UUUUUUUUUUUUUUUUUUUUUUUUUGGUCUUUUUAGGGCCUUACCUGAGGCAUACGGAGGUUCCAAGGCUAGGGGGAGAAUCAGAGCUGUAGUCACCAGCCACAGCCACAGCCUUGUCAGAUCGGAGCCGCUACUUCGACCUACACCACAGCUCACAGCAACAAUGGAUCCUUAACCAACUGAGCGAGGCCAAGGAUUGAAACUGCGUCCUCAUGGAUGCUACUCAGAUUCAUUCCCCCCAAGCCACUAUGGGAACUCCUGAAAGGUACCUUUUUAACCUGGAAGAGACACUGACUCAUGAUGGGAAAUUUGACUUCUGCCCCCUCAACAGGAGGAAUAAUACUAAGCCAGUCACAGAGGAGUUAGAAAGCUACACUGUUUUCCAUAUCUGACUUUCAGUUUAUCAAUUGUGACCCCACUAUGGGUUCUUCAUAAGAGUAUCUAUCAUGUGUUUAGCACUCAAGGUGCUGUGCUUUAAAAAAAGGCUUUACAGGAGUACCCAUCUUGGCUCAGUGGUUAACAAAUCCAACUAGGAACCAUGAGGUUGCGAGUACAAUCCCUGGCCUUGCUCAGUGGGUUAAGGAUCUGACGUUGCCGUGAGCUGCGCUGUAGGUUGCAGAUGUGGCUUGGAUCCCGUGUUGCUGUGGCUCUGGCAUAGGCUGGCGUCUACAGCUCUGAUUAGACCCCUAGCCUGGAAACCUCCAUGUGCCGAAGGAGCGGCCCAAGAAAUGGCAAAAAGACAAAAAAAAAAAAAAAAAAGGCUUUAUAUUCAUGUCUCAUUCCAUACAAUAAUCUCAAGAGGCAGGUGCUAUCAUUGUUUCUGAACUACGGAGAAGCAAGCUGCAAUUUAGAAAGGUUAAGUAAAUGUGACCAAGAUUAGACAGCAAAUAAGUGACACUGAAGAUCUGAAUCCAAUGGCAGAACCCUCUCGAUACAACCUGUGUACCACUAUGGCACUCACUCUUCAGAUGUUUAAAGAAUGUUAAAUGACUAACCCAAUCAGCAGAACUGGGCUUUGAAUCAAGGCAGUGUGGCUCAAGACACACCAGUUUCUAUUUCUUGAAUGAUUUUUCAAGUAUUUUAACAAACCUACUUAAAACGUAAAUCUUCCUCUUGCUUUUAUAACUAUUGGAAAACAUGGGGAAUACACAGAUUACAGUAGUGGGAAAUGAAAGAAAAAAAUGAAAAAAUUUAACAGAACAUAAAGUUCAGCAAGGUUUUAUGAAUAGAAACUCUGAAAGAAAAGAUGAACUAGAGGGAGGAGUGAAAUUACUGGUAGCUGGACACUGGGAACAGGGAGCGGAACCUAACUUGUCAUCUAAUGAUGCAGAAUUACAACUAACGACCAGAUCUGGGAAUGGGUUUGGAGCCCAAGAAAGAACGCUGAAAAAGCCUUGUGAAGUACACAUGCUCAGAUAUCGUAAGAUAACCGCACCUACCACUGGAGAGAAACAUCUUAAGAAAUAACACAGUGGAAUUCCCUGGUGACCAAGUGGUUAAGGGCUCAGUGUUGUCACUGCUGAGGUUCAGGUCACUGUUGUGGCUUGGGUUCAAUCCCUGGCCCAGGAACGUCUGCAUGCUGUGGGUGUGGCCAAAAAAAAAAAAGAGGGAGAGACAGAAGUGACACACUUGUAGAGGAAUCCAAGCCUCAUCUGCAACCUACACCACAGCUUAAGGCAAAGGCCAGAUCCUUAACCCACAGAGUGAAGCCAGGGAUUGAACCUGCAUCCUCAUGGGUUAUUAGUCGGAUUCUUAACCUGCUGAGCCACAACAGGAACUCCCACAUGACAAUCUUACCACGUAUUUUAAAAACCUAACCAAAAUCUGGGAUGAAUCCUUUUCUAUGCUGGGCUUACUCUGAAAUUUGUUAAGCAAUGAGAUGGAAACCUCAGGACACAAAUCAAAGGUCUCUGCUGUUUCCCAAGGCAGCACUAAGCAAUAUUAAAUGUGCUUACAAGCAAUAUUAAAUUUAAUUAUAAAAUUAAAUAUUAAAUUUCCUCACAGUUUUCAGUCUUCCGCCACAGUGUGAUGGAUGCUUCCACCUCUCCCUCGGUAAGCUGGGAAUUCACUUGGUAUCAAGGGUUAGACACCCAAGUUCUCUGCACAAUACAGGGCGAAGGUUCUGACUCUUUCUGCUCAUCUCCUGGGACAGAAAUAAAUGGCCUUUGGUGAAUCCAGUCAUAACUCCAGAAUUUUGUUUGAGGCAAGUUCAGUGGCACAGUCCCUUGCUGAUCUCUAAUUAAACAUUAAAACAGCAAGCAAGCAAGCAUAAUUUCUAGAGAAAGAUUUCUCAAAGGAAUGAGCAAAUAUUGUAUAUUCUCUUCUCUUGUAAUAAAUAUCAUUUAUUUUCCUGAAACAAAGCAUUCUGUUAUUAACUGACUUAAAAUUAACAAGCCACAAUUUGAUGACUCCUUCCCAUUUUUUUGUUAUGGUAAGUAUAAGGGAAUAGGGUAGUGGGCUUCAAGCCCAUAAAAGACAUUUAAUAAAUAUAUCCGAAAAUAUCAGAGUAAAUACUUUACCCACCAGGUCACUGGAUUCAUUAGUACUCUUUCGGUUAUUAAUGACAACGGUCCACCUCCAUCCGUUGUGAGAAAGAAUAUUAUCACUUAACUAGGAUAAGGGAUUCAAAAUGACAGCUGGCAGAAUUAAUAUAGUUAAAACACCCAAAGCAAUCUACAGAUUUAAUGCAAUCUCUACCAAAAUGCCCAUGACAUUUUUCACAGGACUAGAACAAAUACUCCUAAAAUUUACAUUGAACCACAGAAGAUCCCCAACUGCCAAAGCAAUCCUGAGGAAAAAGAACAAAGCUGGAGGUAUAACCCCUCCAGACUUCAGACUAUACUACAAAGCUACAGUAAUUAAAACAUGUUAUUGAAAAAAAACAGACAUAUAGAUCAAUGGAACAGAACAGACAGCCCAGAAAUAAACUCACACACCUACAGUAAAUUAAACUUUCACAAAGAAAGCAAGAAAAUACAAUGGAGGAAAGACAGUCUCUUCAGCCAGUGGUGUUGGGAAAGCUGGCCAGCCAUACAUAAAUCAGUGAAAUCAGAACACUCCCUAACACCAUACACAAAAAUAAAUUCAAAAUAACCUAAAGGUUUAAAUAUAAGCAUAUUAAAUAUGACAGUAUCAAACUCCUAGAAGAGAACCUAGGGUUUUUUUGGUUUUUUAUUUUUUUGUUUUUGUGUUUCUGCCUUUUCUUGAGCCGCUCCUGCAGCAUAUGGAGGUUCCCAGGCUGGGGUGGGGGGUCUAAUCAGAGCCGUAGCCGCUGGCCUACAUCAGAGCCACAGCAACAUGGAAUCCGAGCCGUGUCUGAGACCUACACCACAGCUC